RNAcentral lists this ribosomal RNA (435 nucleotides) under uncultured bacterium. RNAcentral describes it as "partial 16S ribosomal RNA". It matches the Rfam family "Bacterial small subunit ribosomal RNA", at positions 28 to 507 of the family's 1533-position model. The record is from RNAcentral.
AGCGAACGCUGGCGGCAGGCUUAACACAUGCAAGUCGAGCGGGCACUUUCGGGUUUUGUCGGCGGCGGGUGGGGUAGGGGUGGGCAAGUGACCAUCGGGUCGGCAAUAUGCCGGGAAAACUGGGGUAAAAACCGGAACCUCCUUCUUGGGCCAAGGAUUCUUUCCGGGGGAUCGGCCCGCGUCUGAUUAGCGAGUUGGUGAGGUAACGGCCCACCAAGGCUACGAUCAGUAGCUGGUCUGAGAGGAUGAUCAGCCACACUGGGACUGAGACACGGCCCAGACUCCUACGGGAGGCAGCAGUGGGGAAUAUUGGACAAUGGGCGCAAGCCUGAUCCAGCCAUGCCGCGUGAGUGAUGAAGGCCUUAGGGUUGUAAAGCUCUUUUAUCCGGGACGAUAAUGACGGUACCGGAGGAAGAAGCCCCGGCUAACUUCGUG